RNAcentral lists this unclassified non-coding RNA (520 nucleotides) under uncultured Glomus. Its description in RNAcentral is "SSU rRNA". It matches the Rfam family "Eukaryotic small subunit ribosomal RNA", at positions 569 to 1090 of the family's 1831-position model. The record is from RNAcentral. Lineage: Eukaryota; Fungi; Glomeromycota; Glomeromycetes; Glomerales; Glomeraceae.
AGCAGCCGCGGUAAUUCCAGCUCCAAUAGCGUAUAUUAAAGUUGUUGCAGUUAAAAAGCUCGUAGUUGAAUUUCGGGAUCAAUAUGUUGGUCGUGCCUUGGUACGUACUGGCAUUAUUGGUUUCUACCUUCUGAAGAACCUCGAUGUCAUUAAUUUGGUGUCUUGGGGAAUCAGGACUGUUACUUUGAAAAAAUUAGAGUGUUUAAAGCAGGCUCGCGCUUGAAUACAUUAGCAUGGAAUAAUGAAAUAGGACGUUUGAUUCUAUUUUGUUGGUUUCUAGGAUUGACGCAAUGAUUAAUAGGGAUAGUUGGGGGCAUUAGUAUUCAAUUGUCAGAGGUGAAAUUCUUGGAUUUAUUGAAGACUAACUACUGCGAAAGCAUUUGCCAAGGAUGUUUUCAUUAAUCAAGAACGAAAGUUAGGGGAUCGAAGACGAUCAGAUACCGUCGUAGUCUUAACCAUAAACUAUGCCGACUAGGGAUCGGAUGAUGUUAAUUUUUUCAAUGACUCAUUCGGCGCCUUA